AGUGAACGCUGGCGGCAGGCCUAAUACAUGCAAGUCGAACGGCAGCACAGUGGAGCUUGCUCCAUGGGUGGCGAGUGGCGGACGGGUGAGGAAUACAUGGGAAUCUGCCCAGUCGUGGGGGAUAACGUAGGGAAACUUACGCUAAUACCGCAUGCGCCCUUCGGGGGAAAGCCGGGGACCUUCGGGCCUGGCGCGUUUGGAUGAGCCCAUGUUCGAUUAGCUAGUUGGCGGGGUAAAGGCCCACCAAGGCGACGAUCGAUAGCUGGUCUGAGAGGAUGAUCAGCCACACUGGGACUGAGACACGGCCCAGACUCCUACGGGAGGUAGCAGUAGGGAAUAUUGGACUAUGGGCGCAAGCCUGAUCCAGCCAUGCCGCGUGAGUGAAGAAGGCCCUCGGGUUGUAAAGCUCUUUUGUCCGGGAAGAAAAGCAUCGGGCUAAUACCUCGGUGUUCUGACGGUACCGGAAGAAUAAGCACCGGCUAACUUCGUG
Molecule: ribosomal RNA, 490 nt
Filed under: uncultured bacterium
Lineage: Bacteria
Description: partial 16S ribosomal RNA
Rfam family: Bacterial small subunit ribosomal RNA
Source: RNAcentral